Molecule: long non-coding RNA, 689 nt
Filed under: Arabidopsis lyrata
Lineage: Eukaryota; Viridiplantae; Streptophyta; Magnoliopsida; Brassicales; Brassicaceae
Description: long non-coding RNA (ALYR_LNC002219)
Source: RNAcentral
UCGAGCUGAUAAAGAGACUCACCAGGAUCAAAAGGUAAGAGGAUCUCAGAACAGAUUCAAAUCGGGGGAAAUAAGAGAAGAAGAGCUUGAGAUUUUUCUGUUCGUGCGUAGAUAGAUAGAUAGAUUAUAAACAAAAAAAAGGAAUUGAAAGAUGAAAACAAACAAAAAAAAAAAGAGAAAGAAGAAUAUAAACGAGAAAGAAACGCAACCACCAACUACAAACCCGUUCUUUCUUCUUCUUCGUCUUUCUACUUUUGUGUGUCUAGAGAGAGAAGAGAGAGAUAGAAACAGUAAUGGAGAUGGGUCACACUCUCUCUCAAAAAAAAAACAAUUAUACAAUACAACCAAAUAUGUUAUCAGAUUUUUUUCUUUCUCAUGAAUCAUUAUUUUAUUUUUAUUAAUAAUUUAAUAUAAACGGUUUUUAUGAAUAUUGUUUUCUUUUUUGUUUCAGGCUGGCAGAAUUAACAUGGGCUUGGAUAAGACGUUUCUUACACUUAUAUAAUUUUCCGACAUCCACUAGAAUAUAAUAAGAAGAAUUAUUAAAUUGUGAAAAUAAAAAAUCCAAUAACAGAUCAUUUAUUUUAGAUCAUCAAAUCAUAUUCAGGUCACACACAAUUAGUCAAUCAUCCCACUCUUUAUCAGAUUUAAUCUAUGAUUUUAAUUAUGCUAUUGAUAUAAAAAGAAUAACU